AUGCAGGGAACCGCGGGGACCGCAACCUGCCCGACGACGGCAGAGGAUCAGCGUCGCGGCAGCAGGUGCCCGCGUCGCCGCGCCUGUCGAGGGACCUCAGGGGCGCCGGGCAGCUGUCCCCUGGAAACCGGAGACGGGUCGCCGCGCCCGAGGGAAGGCGCUGACCGAGGGACCUACGGGGCGCAGAGGAGUUGUCCCCAGGGAACCCGAGUCGGACCGCCGCAUCCUCCCCGCUGCCCCAUCCGCCACCCUGAGAACCGCCCCUCCUGGGUGGCGGACACGCCCUCCCUGCGGGCCCAGGCCUCCUCGCCCCGCCCCCCCCCGAGCCCCUCCCCCCGCCCGGCCGCCCCCGCCGCUGCCGCCGCCGCCGCCGCCGCCGCCGCCGGCCCCUCGGGCCUCGCCCCUCACUCUGCCGCCGCCUCCCACAGCAGCGGCACCCCAACCGCCUCUGCCGGGUCGUGGGACCCGGAACCACUUCCUUCCGGAACCGCCUCGCCCCGCCCCCGCCCUGGCCCCGCCCACUGUUCGCGGCCUCGCGCUGAGCCCGUUCUCCAGCCGACCCCUAUCCUCUACUCUCCCGGCGAGGGUGCCCCGCCCGGGCUUCUCGGGCCAGAGCGCUGCGCCCCCUGCCGGCCGUUCCCACCGCUGCCGCUCUGUCCAGGGCGCCUGCGCCCUCUGCCACCCGCCUGCCGGGUCCGGCUAGAGCGCCUGCGCCCUCUGCCGCCCUCCUGCCGGAAAGGAGGGGACUUAAUGGGCGUUCCAGGUCCAGGGAUCCUGGGGGUUAAGGCCCAGGGAUUGGAGGUCACCCCUCAGUCACGGACAGAACUUGAUCCCGUGAGCCUUCUAGCUUUGUGCAGAUCUCUAACCAUUCACCUACCCUCUAUCCAUUUCCCACGCCUCAAAUUAAGCAUAUUCCCGGAAAACAAAGCCUCCCCGCUGAACUUCCCAAAUGGUCGGAUGGUACCAGCAUCUAUCCAUCAUCCAACUCAAAGGAUUGCCUCAUCUCUGUCUACUCGCUUGGUUUCUCCCCUCCCGCAGUCCAUGCACCAGCCUCAAAGAUAG
RNAcentral lists this long non-coding RNA (1062 nucleotides) under Papio anubis (olive baboon). RNAcentral describes it as "lncRNA (ENSPANG00000042233.1)". The record is from RNAcentral. Lineage: Eukaryota; Metazoa; Chordata; Mammalia; Primates; Cercopithecidae.